RNAcentral lists this ribosomal RNA (700 nucleotides) under uncultured Bacteroidota bacterium. RNAcentral's name for it is "bacterial SSU rRNA". It matches the Rfam family "Bacterial small subunit ribosomal RNA", at positions 94 to 792 of the family's 1533-position model. Lineage: Bacteria; Pseudomonadati; Bacteroidota. The record is from RNAcentral.
ACCGGCGCACGGGUGCGGAACGCGUAUGGAACCUGCCCCUGUCAGGGGAAUAGCCCAGGGAAACUUGGAUUAAUGCCCCAUGGUACCGUUAUAUCGCAUGAUAUUUCGGUUAAAGAUUUAUCGGACAGGGAUGGCCAUGCGUACCAUUAGUCAGUUGGUGGGGUAACGGCCCACCAAGGCAGCGAUGGUUAGGGGCCCUGAGAGGGGGAUCCCCCACACUGGUACUGAGACACUGACCAGACUCCUACGGGAGGCAGCAGUGAGGAAUAUUGGACAAUGGGCGGGAGCCUGAUCCAGCCAUGCCGCGUGCAGGAUGACGGCCCUAUGGGUUGUAAACUGCUUUUAUACGGGAAGAAACGCACCUACGUGUAGGUGUCUGACGGUACCGUAAGAAUAAGGACCGGCUAACUCCGUGCCAGCAGCCGCGGUAAUACGGAGGGUCCGAGCGUUAUCCGGAAUCAUUGGGUUUAAAGGGUCCGUAGGCGGGCCUGUAAGUCAGGGGUGAAAGUUUGUGGCUCAACCAUAAAAUUGCCUUUGAUACUGCAGGUCUUGAGUCAUGGUGGGGUCGCCGGAACAUGUGGUGUAGCGGUGAAAUGCAUAGAUAUCACAUAGAACACCGAUCGCGAAGGCAGGUGACCAACCAUGUACUGACGCUGAUGGACGAAAGCGUGGGUAGCGAACGGGAUUAGAUACCCCGGUA